GUGAGGAAUAUUGGUCAAUGGACGAGAGUCUGAACCAGCCAAGUAGCGUGAAGGAUGACUGCCCUAUGGGUUGUAAACUUCUUUUAUAUGGGAAUAAAAAAGGCCACGUGUGGUCUAUUGUAUGUACCUUAUGAAUAAGCAUCGGCUAAUUCCGUGCCAGCAGCCGCGGUAAUACGGAAGAUGCGAGCGUUAUCCGGAUUUAUUGGGUUUAAAGGGAGCGUAGGCGGGCGAUUAAGUCAGCGGUAAAAUAGUGUGGCUCAACCAUACUGUGCCGUUGAUACUGGUUGCCUUGAGUGCACACAAGGAAGAUGGAAUUCGUGGUGUAGCGGUGAAAUGCUUAGAUAUCACGAAGAACUCCGAUUGCGAAGGCAGUCUUCUGGGGUGUUACUGACGCUGAGGCUCGAAAGUGCGGGUAUCAAACAGGAUUAGAAACCCUGGUAGUCC
This 444-nucleotide ribosomal RNA is filed under the name uncultured bacterium. RNAcentral describes it as "bacterial SSU rRNA". It matches the Rfam family "Bacterial small subunit ribosomal RNA", at positions 354 to 796 of the family's 1533-position model. The record is from RNAcentral.